RNAcentral lists this non-coding RNA (953 nucleotides) under Boana boans (rusty treefrog). Its description in RNAcentral is "partial small subunit ribosomal RNA". It matches the Rfam family "Bacterial small subunit ribosomal RNA". The record is from RNAcentral. Lineage: Eukaryota; Metazoa; Chordata; Amphibia; Anura; Hylidae.
UGGUCNCUAGNCCUUGNAAUCAAUUUUUACUUUAGUUAUACAUGCAAGUCUCCGCAUCCCUGUGAAAACGCCCUUAAANCUCCUAAUAGGAACAAGGAGCUGGUAUCAGGCACAAUUAUUAGCCCAAGACACCUAGCCAAGCCACACCCACAAGGGACCUCAGCAGUAAUUAACAUUGAAUAUAAGCGACAGCUUGAUUCAGUAAAAGUAAACAGGGCAGGCAAAUAUGGUGCCAGCCGCCGCGGUUAUACCAUGUGGCCCAAAUUGAUUUCUUUNCGGCGUAAAGAGUGAUUAAAGUNACCACUANUACUGUAGUUAAACUACNUAUAAAGUUGUAAUAAGCUUAUACUUAGGAAUAUCAUNAAACGAAAGUUACUACANNNCCCAAAACAACUUGAACUCACGAUAACUGAGGCACAAACUAGGAUUAGAGACCCUACUAUGCUCAGCCACAAACUCUUAAUUACANNNNNNNNCCUCAAACGCCAGGGAACUACGAGCNAAAGCUUAAAACCCAAAGGACUUGACGGUACCCCAUAUCCCCCUAGAGGAGCCUGUCCUAUAAUUGAUACCCCCCGUUUAACCUCACCAUUUUUAGCCUAAUCAGUCUGUAUACCUCCGUCGUCAGCUUACCACAUGAGUGACCUUAUAGUAAGUUUAAUGUCUUNNNAUAUCGUCAAUACGUCAGGUCAAGGUGCAACUAAUAAAAUGGGAAGAGAUGGGCUACACUCUCUAACUUAGAACAUACGGAUAAUUANUUAUGAAANGCUAAUUUUAAGGUGGAUUUAGUAGUAAAAAAAGACUAGAGAGCUUUUUUUANAACAGGCCCUGGGNGUGUGUACACACCGCCCGUCACCCUCUUCGNCAGCCUNNUANUUACAGUUAUUAACAAAACUCNNGCAAAGUAGAAGAGGUANAGUCGUAACAUGGUAAGUAUACCGGAAGGNGUGCUU